UAGGCUGCUAAGUUGAGCACUUGGAAGUGCCAGAUUGACGCAACUUUCAUUCUUUCCCCUUGUGCGUGCAACCUGGCUAUUGAAUGAGGCAGGGGUGCGAUGGGAAACCCAUGUGGGACCAUAAAAUCAUAGACUGUACCUGAUGUGUGUGUCCAAAGGGCAGAACAGGGGCUGCACAAGCAACCAGAAGGUGUACAGCUGGCAUUUCCAAACUUCAAUAGCGGAACAGGAUUUUAUGAAACAAAGAAGAGGCACUUCACUAGCCCAAGGCUGUCCCCCUAGCUGAGUAUCAAGGACCUGCUGCGAACAACAAAACCUCAGGUCCAGGAAUGAUGUAAGCGCAUGAGAAUCUCAUUGAAACUCCCUUCCAGAACCCGAGAAAAGGUUGAAAACGUGGCCCCUAAGGGCUCCACAAUCAAGGUGAAGACGAGGACCGCCACGUUCAUUGCUUAUUAAAAAUCUCAUGGUUGGUACAAUAAUGGAACAACCAGAUACUGCUGAUGGCCCAUUAAGGGGCCUCCACACUACCAAGGGCUAUCACAGAAUCUAUGUACAAUGAAAACCUCUCAGCGAUAGCACAUCAACAAUGGACACAGCUUGACUCACAUCCUAGCAAAAGAUCUAUAGCUCCUCCUAUAAAGGAGGGAAAACAACAUAAUCACUUGGCCUCCCACUCCUCCCUCACAGCUCAACACCUGGAAACACCUCUGGAGGACAAAGACUGAAUUGGGGAGCUGGUCCCAGGCUGGAAAGGAGAAUCCCAGCCUGUGUAUUCAGGAACUAUACCAUCUACCAGGGUGAGACACUGCUUAAUUCAAAUCCUGUCUAGUUUAUAGAAUUCAGAUUGUAGUUUUAAUUUCAUUUCUUAAGUAACUAACUUUGAUCUGUACAUUUCUUACUUACAAUCACUUAAAAUCUAUCUUUCUGUAGUUAAUAAACCUGGUUUUAUAUUUUACUUAAAACAGUGUGUUUCGGUUGAAGUGCCUGAGGAAUCUCCUCAGUGUACAAAAGCAGG
Molecule: non-coding RNA, 1015 nt
Organism: Chelonoidis abingdonii (Abingdon island giant tortoise)
Lineage: Eukaryota; Metazoa; Chordata; Testudines; Testudinidae
Source: RefSeq, a predicted model, not a curated record